GGUGUAGCUGGUCCCUAAUUAACUUGGGGGCAUGUGCACACCUUUCUCUUUCAUCCCAUACACACCUGUGCACCUGUGAGACAGAUGUUUUCUAGAGGGGAAGGAACUUUAUUGGACCUACUCUUCUUGGACCCCGCCUACUACUUAUAUAUAAUCUCCUCUUAUUAUAUUAUGAAGGUUGUGGAGGAAGCACCUCUACUAAUACUAUUCUACAACGACGCUCUUGUUUCUUCUCUCGUUGAAGAACACCGCGAAAAGCUGUAAUAAAUGNGGAGAGUAGAAUACUUCGAAGCAUCGUCUCUUCGAACGCCCCUUCUUCUCCUUGUUGUUCCUUGUAGCAUGCUUGUUGGAUUAUCAUGAAAUCUUCAUCGACGCCCCAUCUGUUAACUCCUUUGUUGCUGCUUUGUUAUUGUUGGACUACUGCUGCUUCUCCCCUGCUCCUCUUCGUGGAUUAUUUGCAGCACCUCGGUGUGCUGGUUGCCACCCCUCGUGAUAAUAUAUCUAUCAUUGAUGACAACCCGCUGUUAAGGAGGGGNCACCGUAGAUGAUGAUGAUCCGCUUCUACCAGCCCAUUCUUCUCUACAAAUAUUAUUAUUAUGAUGAGAUCACCUCUCAUGNAGGACUACCACCUGAUCUUCUUCAUAUUAUNANNAGGNANGAA
Molecule: unclassified non-coding RNA, 661 nt
Filed under: Rhizoctonia solani
Lineage: Eukaryota; Fungi; Basidiomycota; Agaricomycetes; Cantharellales; Ceratobasidiaceae
Description: sequence contains ITS1, 5.8S rRNA gene and ITS2
Rfam family: 5.8S ribosomal RNA (bases 204-357)
Source: RNAcentral